CCCUGCCAUUUGUACACACCGCCCGUCGCUCCUACCGAUUGAAUGAUCCGGUGAAGUGUUCGGAUUGCGUCGACGAUGGCGGUUCGUCGCCGUCGACGUCGUGAGAAGUUCAUUGAACCUUAUCAUUUAGAGGAAGGAGAAGUCGUAACAAGG
This 153-nucleotide ribosomal RNA is filed under the name uncultured eukaryote. Its description in RNAcentral is "partial small subunit ribosomal RNA". It matches the Rfam family "Eukaryotic small subunit ribosomal RNA", at positions 1651 to 1799 of the family's 1831-position model. The record is from RNAcentral.